RNAcentral lists this ribosomal RNA (449 nucleotides) under uncultured bacterium. RNAcentral's name for it is "partial 16S ribosomal RNA". It matches the Rfam family "Bacterial small subunit ribosomal RNA", at positions 29 to 523 of the family's 1533-position model. The record is from RNAcentral.
AACGAACGCUGGCGGCAUGCCUAACACAUGCAAGUCGAACGAGAUCUUCGGGUCUAGUGGCGCACGGGUGCGUAACGCGUGGGAAUCUGCCCUUUGGUUCGGAAUAACAGUUGGAAACGACUGCUAAUUCCGGAUGAUGACGAAAGUCCAAAGAUUUAUCGCCAGAGGAUGAGCCCGCGUAGGAUUAGCUAGUUGGUGUGGUAAAGGCGCACCAAGGCGACGAUCCUAAGCUGGUCUGAGAGGAUGAUCAGCCACACUGGGACUGAGACACGGCCCAGACUCCUACGGGAGGCAGCAGUGGGGAAUAUUGGACAAUGGGCGAAAGCCUGAUCCAGCAGUGCCGCGUGAGUGAUGAAGGCCUUAGGGUUGUAAAGCUCUUUUACCCGGGAUGAUAAUGACAGUACCGGGAGAAUAAGCUCCGGCUAACUCCGUGCCAGCAGCCGCCGUAA